GAGGGUAGAGCUCAGUGGUAGGGCACAUGCUUAGCAUGUUAUGAGGUCCUAGGUUCAAUCCCCAGUACCUCCA
Transfer RNA from Camelus ferus (Wild Bactrian camel), 73 nucleotides. It matches the Rfam family "tRNA". From Rfam's summary of the family: Transfer RNA (tRNA) molecules are approximately 80 nucleotides in length. Their secondary structure includes four short double-helical elements and three loops (D, anti-codon, and T loops). Further hydrogen bonds mediate the characteristic L-shaped molecular structure. tRNAs have two regions of fundamental functional importance: the anti-codon, which is responsible for specific mRNA codon recognition, and the 3' end, to which the tRNAs corresponding amino acid is attached (by aminoacyl-tRNA synthetases). tRNAs cope with the degeneracy of the genetic code in two manners: having more than one tRNA (with a specific anti-codon) for a particular amino acid; and 'wobble' base-pairing, i.e. permitting non-standard base-pairing at the 3rd anti-codon position. The record is from Rfam. Lineage: Eukaryota; Metazoa; Chordata; Mammalia; Artiodactyla; Camelidae.